CAUGCAGUCGAGCGGAUGAGAAGAGCUUGCUGUUCUAUUGGUGGGCAGAGGGGUGAGUAAUACCUAUGAAUCUGCCCGGGACUGGGGGACAACGUUUCCAAAGGAACGCUAAUACCGCAAACGUCCUACCGGAAAAAGGGAGGGACCUUGAGGCCUUGCCCUAUCACAUGAGCCUAGGUCGAAUUAGCUAUUUGGUGAGGUAAUGGCUCACCCAGGCUACGAUCCGUAACUGGUCUGAGAGGAUGAUCAGUCACACUGGAACUGAGACACAGUCCAGACUCCUACUGGAGGCAGCAGUGGGGAAUAUUGGACAAUGGGCGAAAGCCUGAUCCAGCCAUGCCGCGUGUGUGAAGAAGGUCUUCGGAUUGUAAAUCACUUUUAGUUGGGAGGAAGGGCAGUAAGCGAAUACCUUGCUGUUUUGACGUUACCGACAGAAUAAGCACCGGCUAACUCUGUGCCAGCAGCCGCGGUAAUACAAAGGGUGCAAGCGUUAAUCGGAAUUACUGGGCGUAAAGCGCGCGUAGGUGGUUCGUUAAGUUAAAUGUGAAAAUCCCCGGGCUCAACCUGGGAACUGCAUCUGCAACUGGCCAGCUAGAGUAGGGUAGAGGGUGGUGGAAUUUCCUGUGUCGCGGUGAAAGUGCAUAGAUAUAGGAAGGAACRSCAGUSGCGAUGGGGKAMCCCCUGGGCCUCAKACURACMCUGMGSUGCGAMAAGCGUGGGGRUGCRRACMGGAACUAGAUACCGCUGSYAGKSCASUCCMYACMCKAUGUCAAUSUMRCCGUUGGAAUCCKUGMGAUUUUASUGSCSCMSCUAACGCAYUMAGUUGMCCGCCUGGCGAGUACAGCCGCAAGGUUAGAACUCAACUGAAUUGAAGGGGGCCCGCACAAGCGGUGGAGCAUGUGGUUUAAUUUGAAGCAAUGCGAAGAACCUUACCUGGCCUUGACAUCCAAUGUACUUUCCAGAGAAGGAUUUGUGCAGUCGGGAACAGAGAGCCAGGUGCCGCAUGGCGCUUGUCAGCUCGUGUCUUGAGAUGUUGGGUUAUGUCCUGUAUCGAGCGCAACCCUCGUCCUUAGUCACCAGCACGUUAUGGUGGGCACUCUAAGGAGACUGCCGGUGACAAACCGGAGGAAGGUGGGGAUGACGUCAAGUCAUCAUGGCCCUUAUGGCUUGGGCUUCACACGUGAUACAAUGGUCGGUACAGAGGGUCGCCAAGCCGCGAGGUGGAGCCAAUCUCACAAAACCGAUCGUAGUCCGGAUCGCAGUCUGCAACUCGACUGCGUGAAGUCGGAAUCGCUAGUAAUCGCGAAUCAGAAUGUCGCGGUGAAUACGUUCCCGGGCCUUGUACACACCGCCCGUCACACCAUGGGAGUGGGUUGCACCAGAAGUAGGUAGCUCUAACCUUAGGGAGGACG
Molecule: ribosomal RNA, 1412 nt
Filed under: Pseudomonas sp.
Lineage: Bacteria; Pseudomonadati; Pseudomonadota; Gammaproteobacteria; Pseudomonadales; Pseudomonadaceae
Also listed under: 1 other name
Description: partial 16S ribosomal RNA
Rfam family: Bacterial small subunit ribosomal RNA
Source: RNAcentral